UGUGGGAGCUGGCUUGCCUGCGAUGGCGGUGGGCCAGUCAACCUUUCCUUGGCUGACCCGCCGCCAUCGCAGGCAAGCCAGCUCCCACA
This 89-nucleotide unclassified non-coding RNA is filed under the name Pseudomonas costantinii. The record is from RNAcentral. Lineage: Bacteria; Pseudomonadati; Pseudomonadota; Gammaproteobacteria; Pseudomonadales; Pseudomonadaceae.